GAUGAACGCUGGCGGCGUGCCUAAUACAUGCAAGUCGAGCGAACAGAUAAGGAGCUUGCUCCUUUGACGUUAGCGGCGGACGGGUGAGUAACACGUGGAUAACCUACCUAUAAGACUGGGAUAACUUCGGGAAACCGGAGCUAAUACCGGAUAACAUAUUGAACCGCAUGGUUCAAUAGUGAAAGGCGGCUUUGCUGUCCCUUAUAGAUGGAUCCGCGCCGUAUUAGCUAGUUGGUAAGGUAACGGCUUACCAAGGCAACGAUACGUAGCCGACCUGAGAGGGUGAUCGGCCACACUGGAACUGAGACACGGUCCAGACUCCUACGGGAGGCAGCAGUAGGGAAUCUUCCGCAAUGGGCGAAAGCCUGACGGAGCAACGCCGCGUGAGUGAUGAAGGUCUUCGGAUCGUAAAACUCUGUUAUCAGGGAAGAACAAAUGUGUAAGUAACUGUGCACAUCUUGACGGUACCUGAUCAGAAAGCCACGGCUAACUACGUG
This 497-nucleotide ribosomal RNA is filed under the name uncultured bacterium. RNAcentral describes it as "partial 16S ribosomal RNA". It matches the Rfam family "Bacterial small subunit ribosomal RNA", at positions 28 to 507 of the family's 1533-position model. The record is from RNAcentral.